CGGAAGGGGUGCAUCUUAAGGGGUAUAGUUACAUAAUAAGGUAAUGAGUACAUUUCUUGUCUUAUUUGUUACACCCUCGUUUUUCUUUCCCUUCCCUAGUUCAGGUAAGCGUAUAUACUAUAUCCAGUGUAACAAAAUCACAUACAGUAACCAAGUAGGGUACACCAAAGGAAAUUCACCUAGAACAUUAAACGUAACAACAACAAUAGAAUCCUCCUGUGUCCUUGUCUUGGAGUUCUUUUUGCUUAUCCUUGUCUUAUAUGAUCAUGUGUAC
Long non-coding RNA from Perognathus longimembris pacificus (Pacific pocket mouse), 274 nucleotides. RefSeq lists it as uncharacterized. The record is from RefSeq and is a predicted model, not a curated record. The transcript has 3 exons. Lineage: Eukaryota; Metazoa; Chordata; Mammalia; Rodentia; Heteromyidae.